UACGGGGGGGGCAAGCGUUGUUCGGAAUUACUGGGCAUAAAGGGCUCGUAGGUGGCCAACUAAGUCGGACGUGAAAUCCCUCGGCUUAACCGGGGAACUGCAUCCGAUACUGGAUGGCUUGAGUUCGGGAGAGGGAUGCGGAAUUCCAGGUGUAGCGGUGAAAUGCGUAGAUAUCUGGAGGAACACCGGUGGCGAAGGCGGCAUCCUGGACCGACACUGACGCUGAGGAGCGAAAGCCAGGGGAGCAAACGGG
Molecule: ribosomal RNA, 253 nt
Filed under: uncultured bacterium
Lineage: Bacteria
Description: partial 16S ribosomal RNA
Rfam family: Bacterial small subunit ribosomal RNA
Source: RNAcentral